RNAcentral lists this long non-coding RNA (519 nucleotides) under Nicotiana tabacum (common tobacco). RNAcentral describes it as "long non-coding RNA (NTAB_LNC009975)". The record is from RNAcentral. Lineage: Eukaryota; Viridiplantae; Streptophyta; Magnoliopsida; Solanales; Solanaceae.
ACCCUAGCCGCCCACCGCCGCCGGAAAUCGCCCAAGGCGGCGGCCCAUCUCCAAUCACCUCCAACUUUUCACCACGCAAUCACCACGUCCUUCUCAUCCCAUAUCUCCCAUUCGUUUCCCUCAAAAACCUUUAGAAUUGUUCGAUUUGUAGAUCUAGAAAUGAAACCCUAGACCUCCUCUUCGUCGACGAUAGCUGUUUUGGUCCCUUAAUCGUUUGAAUGGCUAGAAUUUUCUUAAAACCUUCGCUUUUUCUUUGUUCUCGGCUUGCAAGAGUUAUUAUCAUACGUAGCACUAGCCAAAUGGAGAAAUAUCGGUCAGUGCUCGUGUAAUAAUAACUUUUGUUCGUUGAAUUCUGGCUCGCUGGAGUUGUUUGUAUCCUCCUGGUGUUUGCUAAAUUUGUAUAUCUCCCUUCCCUUUCUUAAAUUGGCUGUUUAAUCACAUAUUCGUAUGAUCAUGUGAUCUGAUUUGGGGUUAAUUCCAGUGUUUAAUCGUCUUCGUAAUUACUUUUGUGCUUUAGUG